AUUGAACGCUGGCGGCAUGCCUUACACAUGCAAGUCGAACGGCAGCACGGGUGCUUGCACCUGGUGGCGAGUGGCGAACGGGUGAGUAAUACAUCGGAACAUGUCCUGUAGUGGGGGAUAGCCCGGCGAAAGCCGGAUUAAUACCGCAUACGAUCCACGGAUGAAAGCGGGGGACCUUCGGGCCUCGCGCUAUAGGGUUGGCCGAUGGCUGAUUAGCUAGUUGGUGGGGUAAAGGCCUACCAAGGCGACGAUCAGUAGCUGGUCUGAGAGGACGACCAGCAACAGUGGGAAUGGAGAACGGCCCAGAACCCUACGGGAGGCAACAGUGGGGAAUUUUAGACAAGGGGAGAAAGCCUAAACCAGCAAUGCCGCGUGAGUGAAGAAGGCCUUAGGGUUGGAAAGGACUUUUGGCCAGAAAAAAAACCUUGACCCUAAAACAGCCGGGGGAUGACGGGACCGGAAAAAUAAACAACGGCUAACUAAGU
This 485-nucleotide ribosomal RNA is filed under the name uncultured bacterium. RNAcentral's name for it is "partial 16S ribosomal RNA". It matches the Rfam family "Bacterial small subunit ribosomal RNA", at positions 29 to 506 of the family's 1533-position model. The record is from RNAcentral.